RNAcentral lists this ribosomal RNA (484 nucleotides) under uncultured bacterium. Its description in RNAcentral is "partial 16S ribosomal RNA". It matches the Rfam family "Bacterial small subunit ribosomal RNA", at positions 30 to 507 of the family's 1533-position model. The record is from RNAcentral.
AUUGAACGCUGGCGGCAGGCCUAACACAUGCAAGUCGAGCGGAUGAAGGGAGCUUGCUCCUGGAUUCAGCGGCGGACGGGUGAGUAAUGCCUAGGAAUCUGCCUGGUAGUGGGGGAUAACGUCCGGAAACGGGCGCUAAUACCGCAUACGUCCUGAGGGAGAAAGUGGGGGAUCUUCGGACCUCACGCUAUCAGAUGAGCCUAGGUUGGAUUAGCUAGUUGGUGGGGUAAAGGCCUACCAAGGCGACGAUCCGUAACUGGUCUGAGAGGAUGAUCAGUCACACUGGAACUGAGACACGGUCCAGACUCCUACGGGAGGCAGCAGUGGGGAAUAUUGGACAAUGGGCGAAAGCCUGAUCCAGCCAUGCCGCGUGUGUGAAGAAGGUCUUCGGAUUGUAAAGCACUUUAAGUUGGGAGGAAGGGCAGUAAGUUAAUACCUUGCUGUUUUGACGUUACCAACAGAAUAAGCACCGGCUAACUUCGUG